RNAcentral lists this ribosomal RNA (836 nucleotides) under alpha proteobacterium SCGC AAA008-G20. Its description in RNAcentral is "SSU rRNA". It matches the Rfam family "Bacterial small subunit ribosomal RNA", at positions 35 to 916 of the family's 1533-position model. The record is from RNAcentral. Lineage: Bacteria; Pseudomonadati; Pseudomonadota; Alphaproteobacteria.
GCUGGCGGCAUGCCUAACACAUGCAAGUCGAACGAAGUCUUCGGACUUAGUGGCGCACGGGUGAGUAACAUGUGGGAAUCUGCCUAAAGGUUCGGAAUAACUACGGGAAACUGUAGCUAAUACCGGAUGUGUCUGCAAAGAGAAAGAUUUAUCGCCUUUAGAUGAGCCCGCACUAGAUUAGUUUGUUGGUGAGGUAAGAGCUCCACCAAGACUACGAUCUAUAGCUGAUUUGAGAGGAUGAUCAGCCACACUGGGACUGAGACACGGCCCAGACUCCUACGGGAGGCAGCAGUGGGGAAUAUUGGACAAUGGGGGAAACCCUGAUCCAGCAAUGCCGCGUGAGUGAAGAAGGCCCUCGGGUUGUAAAACUCUUUCAUCAAUGAAGAUAAUGACAUUAAUUGAAGAAGAAGCUCCGGCUAACUCCGUGCCAGCAGCCGCGGUAAUACGGAGGGGGCUAGCGUUGUUCGGAAUUACUGGGCGUAAAGCGUAUGUAGGCGGAUCAAAAAGUUAGAUGUGAAAUCCCUGGGCUCAACCCAGGAACUGCAUUUAAAACUAAUGAUCUAGAAUUUGGUAGAGGAUAGUAGAAUUUCCAGUGUAGAGGUGAAAUUCGUAGAUAUUGGAAAGAAUACCAGUGGCGAAGGCGACUAUCUGGGCCAUUUUUGACGCUGAGAUACGAAAGCGUGGGUAGCAAACAGGAUUAGAUACCCUGGUAGUCCACGCAGUAAACGAUGAGUGCUAGUCGCUGGGCCUUUAGGUUCGGUGUCGAAGCUAACGCAUUAAGCACUCCGCCUGGGAAGUACGGUCGCAAGGAUUAAAACUUAAAUGGAGAUUGACGG